Molecule: ribosomal RNA, 747 nt
Filed under: uncultured cyanobacterium
Lineage: Bacteria; Bacillati; Cyanobacteriota
Description: bacterial SSU rRNA
Rfam family: Bacterial small subunit ribosomal RNA
Source: RNAcentral
AGAGUUUGAUCCUGGCUCAGGAUGAACGCUGGCGGUAUGCGUAACACAUGCAAGUCGAACGAAGUUUUUCGGAACUUAGUGGCGGACGGGUGAGUAACGCGUGAGAAUCUGCCUUAAGGAUUGGGACAACAGUGGGAAACCGCUGCUAAUACCAAAUAUGCCUUUUAGUGAAACGGGUAAAACCGCCUUAAGAUGAGCUCGCGUCUGAUUAGCUAGUUGGUGUGGUAAGAGCGCACCAAGGCAACGAUCAGUAGCUGGUCUGAGAGGACGACCAGCCACACUGGGACUGAGACACGGCCCAGACUCCUACGGGAGGCAGCAGUGAGGAAUUUUCCGCAAUGGGCGAAAGCCUGACGGAGCAAUACCGCGUGAGGGAGGAAGGCUCUUGGGUUGUAAACCUCUUUUCUCAGAGAAGAAUAAUGACGGUAUCUGAGGAAUAAGCAUCGGCUAACUCCGUGCCAGCAGCCGCGGUAAUACGGAGGAUGCAAGCGUUAUCCGGAAUGAUUGGGCGUAAAGGGUCUGUAGGUGGUUGUUCAAGUCUGCUGUUAAAGCGUCUGGCUUAACCAGAUAAAGGCGGUGGAAACUGAACGACUAGAGUGCGGUAGGGGUAGAGGGAAUUCCCAGUGUAGCGGUGAAAUGCGUAGAUAUUGGGAAGAACACCUGUGGCGAAAGCGCUCUACUGGACCGCGACUGACACUGAUGGACGAAAGCUAGGGGAGCGAAUGGGAUUAGAUACCCCCGUAGUCC